Molecule: unclassified non-coding RNA, 105 nt
Organism: Nomascus leucogenys (northern white-cheeked gibbon)
Lineage: Eukaryota; Metazoa; Chordata; Mammalia; Primates; Hylobatidae
Rfam family: Y RNA
About the family: Y RNAs are components of the Ro ribonucleoprotein particle (Ro RNP), in association with Ro60 and La proteins. The Y RNAs and Ro60 and La proteins are well conserved, but the function of the Ro RNP is not known. In humans the RNA component can be one of four small RNAs -- hY1, hY3, hY4 and hY5.
Source: Ensembl
GGCCAGUCCAAGUGCAGUGGUGUUUACAACUAAUUGAUCAUAAUAAUCAGUUACAGAUUUAUUUGUUCCUUCUCCACUUCCACUGCUUCACUUGGCAAACAUAUA